Molecule: ribosomal RNA, 492 nt
Filed under: uncultured bacterium
Lineage: Bacteria
Description: partial 16S ribosomal RNA
Rfam family: Bacterial small subunit ribosomal RNA
Source: RNAcentral
GAUGAACGCUGGCUACAGGCUUAACACAUGCAAGUCGAGGGGAAACGGCAUCGAAAGCUUGCUUUUGAUGGGCGUCGACCGGCGCACGGGGGAGUAACGCGUAUCCAACCUGCCCAUCACUUGGGAAUAACCUUGCGAAAGUAAGACUAAUGCCCAAUGACAUCCCACGAAGGCAUCCGAAUGGGAUUAAAGAUUUAUCGGUGAUGGAUGGGGAUGCGUCUGAUUAGCUUGUUGGCGGGGUGACGGCCCACCAAGGCAACGAUCAGUAGGGGUUCUGAGAGGAAGGUCCCCCACAUUGGAACUGAGACACGGUCCAAACUCCUACGGGAGGCAGCAGUGAGGAAUAUUGGUCAAUGGGCGAGGGCCUGAACCAGCCAAGUAGCGUGCAGGAUGCCGGCCCUAUGGGUUGUAAACUGCUUUUAUAAGGGAAUAAAGUGGGUCACGUGUGACUUUUUGCAUGUACCUUAUGAAUAAGGACCGGCUAAUUCCGUG